RNAcentral lists this ribosomal RNA (281 nucleotides) under Vibrio parahaemolyticus. RNAcentral's name for it is "partial 16S ribosomal RNA". It matches the Rfam family "Bacterial small subunit ribosomal RNA", at positions 278 to 551 of the family's 1533-position model. The record is from RNAcentral. Lineage: Bacteria; Pseudomonadati; Pseudomonadota; Gammaproteobacteria; Vibrionales; Vibrionaceae.
GAUCCCUAGCUGGUCUGAGAGGAUGAUCAGCCACACUGGAACUGAGACACGGUCCAGACUCCUACGGGAGGCAGCAGUGGGGAAUAUUGCACAAUGGGCGCAAGCCUGAUGCAGCCAUGCCGCGUGUGUGAAGAAGGCCUUCGGGUUGUAAAGCACUUUCAGUCGUGAGGAAGGUAGUGUAGUUAAUAGCUGCAUUAUUUGACGUUAGCGACAGAAGAAGCACCGGCUAACUCCGUGCCAGCAGCCGCGGUAAUACGGAGGGUGCGAGCGUUAAUCGGAAU